This 1189-nucleotide long non-coding RNA is filed under the name Bos indicus x Bos taurus (hybrid cattle). RNAcentral's name for it is "lncRNA (ENSBIXG00000026657.1)". Lineage: Eukaryota; Metazoa; Chordata; Mammalia; Artiodactyla; Bovidae. The record is from RNAcentral.
GUUCUGGUGGCAUGGUGGGGGCAGGCUGCCGUCCGUCUGCGUCUAUCAGUGUCGGGAGCCAGUGGUGUGGGCAGGGGGCGGGGGAUGCUCGCUCACCACUGGAAUCAAGUCAGAGUGAGAAGGAAAAGAUGGCCUCCGCCAGCCUCAGUGCCAGCAAUGCUGAGGGAGCCCAUACUAACGGCUUCUGUCAGUGUUGUUUCUGGAGAGUGAUCCAGGAGAUUUCUGACCCUCUGGCAGAUGCUUUGUUAGUAAGUGACUCUCCUUCACAUAAAGUCUAGGCUCUUUUCAAACUGCUCCUUUUUAUACUGGGUCCCAGGGCAAAUGAGUCUCUAUAUGAGCCCUUUAAAUGCAAAAUCUUCGUUCUUGAUAACCUUAUAUUUCUUCUGAACAGCAGAUCUGUUGGUUUUUUUCAAAGCCAGACACUUUGAGGGCUCUUCUCUCAGGCACAGGUCCCAGGGAUUCAGGUGGGUGGUGUGUGAGAAGCUCCAUUUUAUGCAUGUACGUACUUGUUUAUUUUUGACAUCCCUUAAGAUUGUGAGUUGCUACUCUGGGGUUGGGGGAGGCAGGGUUGAUAAGUAUGUGUCUCUGCCUCUCCUACACAUCUCCAUGUGGCUCUUUUAUCCUUAAUUUUAUAGCAAGUGCUAGAUGCUCAGGUUUUUUUUCAGAGGGAUUUGUUUCAUGCAUAACUAUAUUUGUUUUAUCUGUAAAAGGAGGUGAAUUCAGAAUCUUUCCAUACAGCCAUCUUGAAGUGCCUCAUAAUCUUAGUUUUGAAGAUUGGAAAAUGAAAAGAUCACUUACUGAGGAAAUUGGAGACUGCAGGAAUGAAGGAAAAGUCUCCCAUUUUGAGCUACUCUUUUAUGUCACUUCUACAAAAUGGCAUGCAACUCUAUAAAUAUUUUUUUUAAAGAUACAGUUUUCCCACCUUGCUUUUUCUUCAAGUCAUCUGUAGAAUAUUUCAUCUUCCCUGAAGAUAAAAUUACUUCCAACCACUACUGAAAUCACAACUUAUUAUUAGGCCAGUCCCUAGAUGUAUGGAUGCAAUCAGUGGAUCAAGAACAAAGCUUGGAAAUAGAUAACAAGUCCUUCCCCAGUUGAGGUAAGUAAUUCUUGGGCAAGUUUUGGGGAAAAGAAAAAAUGAGUGACAAGGAUAUACUUUAUGCUUUUUUUUUUUUUGACUUCUGUGAUGAAG